Rhincodon typus (whale shark) is the source of this 552-nucleotide long non-coding RNA. RefSeq lists it as uncharacterized. Lineage: Eukaryota; Metazoa; Chordata; Chondrichthyes; Orectolobiformes; Rhincodontidae. The record is from RefSeq and is a predicted model, not a curated record. The transcript is spliced from 2 exons.
UGUAAUCUGAGAAAUCGAGUCCUGUUUGGAAGGCAGUAUAUAUCAGGGUCCUCUCUGCUUCCUUUUCAGUCUGUUUCGCAAUGUUGGACAUCUUCCUGCUGAUGUUUUUCGCCAUUGUGAGUUUAGUGAUUCUGUCCUACAUCAUCUAUGUUCUGUAAGGAGAUGGAAGCACCAGCAGCACCAACAAUAACCGGGCGCUUUCAGAAAGCUGCAAGGCGGAGCCUCUUGGAACCAUGAGCCAUGGCUGGCAUUGCGUUUUUCCUCAGUUGGCCCUCAGCAGUAAUGAGGGAUCCCCAUGUUGGACUGUUAAGACCGUUUUUCUUGGAUUCAUCUCCUCAGUGGGACGGUGUAGAAUCCUAAUGAACGGAGGCACCUGCUGAGCUACAUCGAGUCACCGUCACAAAGAUUGAUAGGUACCUAGAGUUUUCCUGAAACAAACACCAUCCAUCCCAGUUUUGUUUCCAGAAGAUCUCAAGAUGUUGGCAGAUGAACACUCCUGGCCAUUGUGUUGGACCAUGCCUUCGGGUCGGAAAUUAAAACUGUUGAAAUAUG